Molecule: long non-coding RNA, 2096 nt
Filed under: Pan troglodytes (chimpanzee)
Lineage: Eukaryota; Metazoa; Chordata; Mammalia; Primates; Hominidae
Description: long non-coding RNA NONPTRT005694
Source: RNAcentral
UGCAUUUCCGACACUUCAGUCUCUCAAAGGGGGUUUCCUACAGUUGCUUCCUGACAUCCUAAGAGUCCACAUCCCCACCCAGAGAAAGAGAAGCCCGGAAAAACUCUGACAGAUCUCUGGCCAGCAACCCUGUGGACGGGUGGGGAGACGAGUUCAAGAAAGAGAAAAGACAUGUCCCGGCACGGGGCUCCUACCUCCCCAUCCACCGUGCUUUCCGGUGUACCAGAGCUGCGCCUUUCCACGUUUGCCUAGGGUGCAGGCAAGACAUGUUUGUGAAGUUGGGAGGUCACAGGGACGGGAGGGAGGGAUUCUGAUGAUAAGGACAAUACAACCCUUCCUAGAAGUCCGAAUUCUAGUACCUCCUAUUUUCUCUGUCGCUAACAGAAGAGCCCUGGCAACACCCAGACAGGAGAAAUCCAAAGGGAGGACAGUACUUUGCAAGCUUGUUUCAAACUCUUCAAGAAAGCAGCAAGACAUUUUGACCUGCCAUUCUGACCCUCUGGGCCUUCUGGCCAGAUUACCAGAGAAAAUUCGGCUUGAGAGAAAUGAUGCACCCCAAACAAAGCUGGUGAUCAACAAAGGUAAAAUUACCCACCAAAAACAUUUGUUGAAAAUAAUAAGCAAACUGAAAAAGCACACUCCUUGCUACAUUUAAAAACUGACCCUGAAAAAAUCAAACCUCAUAGAAAAAACUUCAACACAAAAUAAAACUGAAACCAACUAAAACUGCAGACCAUGAAAGUCACUAACCAAAAACUGAUGAAAGAAUCCAACAACUCAGAUAUGCAAAAUUUUACCCAGGACAGUGGUGGAAAGAAUGGCAGAAGCUAACAUGAGUACUAACAGCAAGCAAGCCAACAGAAUCAGAACCAAAUUUUGUGGUAAAAUGCACAUGGGAAGGUAGUGAUCCUAAUGAAAAUAAUUUCGGUUUAAAAAAGCGAAAAGGAAGAACUUAUGAAGGAACAGCUUCAUAUUGGUACACAGAAAAUGGCUGUGGUACUAAAUCGACUUGCAGUGCUGAUAUCACCUGGUUCAAGUGUUUAUAUCUGUGAACCAAAUAGGAACAUCUACUGGGAAAAAAAAUGACAAAACAAAAAAACACCCUUGUCCUUUUUCAGAAAAGUGGUCAAAAGUCAAGCCUUGGCAAAAACCACAAACACAGCCUGCUCCGUCUUACACUUCCCAGCUUCCUUGAAGGAACCAGGACUCCUCUGUUGAGCACUUGUCACCUUGCCUGAUCAGCACCAGACACCAGAAAGAAGUCAGACCCCAGCCUGAUGAACAGGCAUGGUGGGUAGACCACCAGGAGAUGCCCAGCCCUGCCCACUGAGCUGACCUCAGGCAGGUGAUGGCCUCUAACCACCUUGGGGACACAUAUCCUAUGGUCAAUGGGGCCUGUCCGCUACGAAACCUGAAGAGACCAUGGUACCACUCCCCACCUGGAGAAGCCCAGGGAUCUCCAUCCUCCGCCCUUGGGGGGAUGGGGAGAAAAUAUCUCUAUGGGGUGGAGGUUGGGGUAAUAGGGCAGUCAGCAAUUUCACUCUUUACUUCUCCGUGUGUUCUAAAUUUUCCACAAUAAUUAUAUAUUACAGUUAUGUUAAAGUGGGGAGGGAAGCAUUAAAGACAAAAGCCAAAACACCUGCUCUAAGAAUAACUGACUCUGGGCCGGGUGCAGUGGCUCAUGCCUAUAAUCCCAGUACUUUGGGAGGCUGAGGUGGGCAGAUCACCUGAGGUCAGGAAUUCGAGACCAGCCUGGCCAACAUGGCGAAACCCUGUCUCUACUAAAAAAUACAAAAAUUAGCCAGGUGUGGUGGUGCACGCCUGUAAUACCAGCUACUCAGGAGGCUGAGGCAGAAUUGCUUGAAUCCGGAAGGCGGAGGUUGCAGUGAGCCGAGAUUGCACCACUGCACUCCAGCCUGGGUGACAGAGCAAGACUCCAACUCGAAAAGAAAAAAAAAAAAAAAAGAAUGACUGACUCUGGGAUGUGUUUCCUCACAUGAAAGGUUCAGAUGACCCUGGGAGCUCAAGAUGGCACAAUCUUUAAUGUAUCUGCAAUUAUGCAGGGUUGAAAGUUCCAAGUUUUAAGUCAAAGGCAA